AGGGUUCGAUUCUGGCUCAGGAUGAACGCUAGCUACAGGCUUAACACAUGCAAGUCGAGGGGCAGCAGAUCGAUAGCUUGCUAUUGAUGCUGGCGACCGGCGCACGGGUGAGUAACGCGUAUCCAACCUUCCCUUAGUAGGGGAUAGCCCGGCGAAAGUCGGAUUAAUACCCUAUGUUAUUCGUCGAGGACAUCUGAAAUGAAUCAAAGGUUUACCGCUAAGGGAUGGGGAUGUGUCUGAUUAGGUAGUCGGCGGGGUAACGGCCCACCGAGCCGUCGAUCAGUAGGGGUUCUGAGAGGAAGGUCCCCCACAUUGGAACUGAGACACGGUCCAAACUCCUACGGGAGGCAGCAGUGAGGAAUAUUGGUCAAUGGGCGAGAGCCUGAACCAGCCAAGUAAGCGUGCAGGAUGACGGCCCUAUGGGUUGUAAACUGCUUUUAUCGGGGGAUAAAGUGACCCACGUGUGGGUGUUUGUAGGUACCCGAUGAAUAAGGACCGGCUAAUUCCGUGCCAGCCGCAGC
This 521-nucleotide ribosomal RNA is filed under the name uncultured bacterium. Its description in RNAcentral is "bacterial SSU rRNA". It matches the Rfam family "Bacterial small subunit ribosomal RNA", at positions 8 to 518 of the family's 1533-position model. The record is from RNAcentral.